CUUAAGGAGAUCCAUCCCAGCAUACUACGCCAGUCCGUUACACUCUCUCCGGUCCGCUCCUCCACGGGUGCCGCUGGUUCUUCCUCGUCACCGGCUGUCUACGCCGUCCUCGGCGCCUCCACUCGCUCCAAGCUGUGCUCGCCGUCCUCGGCGCUCCACCUCGUCACAGGCUGUCUACGUUGUCCCUGACAUUCCUCCUCGUCCACGACUCGCAUCACCCUCAGAUUAAAUCUUCUGACUCUG
Long non-coding RNA from Oryzias latipes (Japanese medaka), 243 nucleotides. RefSeq lists it as uncharacterized. NCBI's taxonomy places the organism in Eukaryota, Metazoa, Chordata, Actinopteri, Beloniformes, Adrianichthyidae. The record is from RefSeq and is a predicted model, not a curated record.